ACCUGUGAAACACAGGUCAAUCAGAAAAUGUAAGCAGCCUGGAUAUUAAGACGUGGUGACUUUAUUCUCUACUCCUAGAGUGUGAAAGCCAGGCCUUUGCUCAGAAGGCAGGGAAGUGGAAUGGUGUCCUCAGGAAACCUUGCUGGCCUGAGGGAAAGUCUUGAGAAUACCAGUAUCAGAGGCUCCACCAUGAAAUGGCCCAGUCAGAUCACCUGACAGUGGAGCUCCCAGUCAGCAAGGCUCGCUCAGGACCUCAGAACUUCUCACCCUCCCUCCCUCCUCACUACCCACAGACAAGCAAGCAUGAACAGGUUCCUGGGAGGACUCUCCUGUGUCAGGCCUGGGACACACUCUGCUCUGCGCAGGGUGGGACCAGCUUGCCUCGCUAAGUGCCCCAUCAGUCUGGCCACACUGCUUGGUUCAGGGUGAGCCUGCGAACUGAGGUGAGUCCAUCAUCUGGAGAGAGUAGAAAGGGAUAUGAUGAGAAGGAUGUUGGUCUCUUUCCUUCUAGAAUCCUGGACCAUGUGAGUCUGAAGCUGUGGUGGCUCCAGGGAGAGUGCCUGGCUGAGAAUGAGGACAGUGGUGUGGAAAUCAGGGCUAAGGGAGAGAGAAAACAGGACAAAUUCUUACUAUCAUUAGUCACCUUCCUGAAUGGAGCCAAGUUUCAUCCUUUGAAUUCCCCGUAGAUGAGCUGAUAACUUCCCUUCCUAAGAUGGUUUGGGUUGCUCCUGACAGUGUCUUCUCUUGUGAGUGGGAAGGGAUAAGGUUGCCAUGUGAGAAUGUGAGGGGUAAAUAGAGACAAUAUUUAGAAGAACACCCUACCAGUCUGAGAACUGUGAGGAGAGGAGCAGCUGGCAGAGGAGACUGAGCAGAAACUGCUGGGUAGAUAGAAAAAAGGAAAGGCAAUGCCAUGACAGUCAUGAGAAGACAGUGAGCCCUCAUCAGUAUUAAAUCUUCCCCAUGUCUAUUGACACCUUGAAAAACCGGCUUUGGUACCAUGGAGCUAACCUUGAAGAUGUUGGUGCGAGUAGUUUUGGUGAAGUGGAACCUGAUGGUCCUGGAGAAUUAUUAACUCAUCCAAGAUUUCUUGGCAGAAAAUAGCAGACAGAUUUGCAUCAUAAUAGAAAAGCAUUAUGUCUUGUCUAUCAGAGGCAUCUGUAAAUCCAGGUACUUCUGGCUCUUUCACUCUGGAUUCGCCAUCCUCGUCGUUACAUCGGGUCCCUAACACACAACGUGACUGCUCAGCAUACCUCUGGGGAAAGCAGCCGUGACGAAGGCCGUUGGGACGCAGGGCUGGGUCACACCACGGGAGCAGGAUCACAGCCAAACUCUCCAAGGACUUGGGCAGGAAAGGCUUCUGCCUGGGGCUUUGCACUUCAGAGAACCCCUCACAGCAGAUACUUCUGUGAAAGACUUGAGGGGCACUUCUGUCACUUGUGAUCUGUGGGGCGCUCGAGGAUGCCUCGGCAGAACCCCUAGUCCUCAACAUCUGCUCCUGGAAGUAACACUUAACAUCCUGGGGGAAAACACUUCACAUCUUCUUUCCUGUAUCUUCCAGACAAAUACUGGCUGCCACUGAAUGCCAUCAAGGUCUGCGGGCUGUGUCACUGACACCACUGAGUGUCACAGAGGAUCUGGGAUAUGGAAACACUUAGGAAACAGAAAAGAUAAAUUAACCAACAUGUUAAAUCCUUCCUCUCACAUAAAAUUAUUGCAUUAGACUCUUAUGUAAUGAAGUAUCCUUUCCCAGGGCUACCAAACACCCAUGUUCUUUCUUUCCUAGUGUUCUAUGUUCAUUGUUGUACAUGUUACUGAUGGAACAUUUUGCAAUAUAUAAAUAGUUUAUAUUUUAUUCUAUUUGUGUACAUAUCUAUAUCUAUAAUACGUAAGUGUAGAUGUAACAUGAGUAGAGCAUAACCUAAAUUUUCAACAUAAUGACUAGACAGUCAUUAAAUACUGGAAUUGCAAAUAAUUUGUUUUGUGCAAGUACUUAAAAAGAUUUUAUUAAUUUUGCAAAAAAUAAAUCAGUUGAGAUUCAUUUAAAUAAUGUACAUUAAAAUUCAUAUUAAUCAUUAUAAUUUUAUUAUGCAUUUUAAUAUUUAUAUACCAUGCAGAAUAUUUUAGAAAGUAACAUUUUUGAAAGCAUAUAAACAAAAUCUUAAUUUACAUUUUUAAUGAAAAUACAGUCUAGUUAAGUUCACUCUGAAUGUAACUGCAUUUUAUUUAUUUAUUAUUUAGGUUGGUGAGAAUGAGUUCAUAUUGAGAUCAGACUAGAAAUAGAAAAUAUAGAAGUAGAGCUCAGAGGGAACUCUACUGAUUAUCUAAACUGAAAAGCAUAGAUAAAUAGAAAAUGUUCAAAGAGGCAGCUUGCUUAAGUUUUUAAAAACUGGAAACAGUAAAAGUGAGACUUAUAUUGAACACAACUCACAAAAAGUUUGCAAACAGGGCAUUACAAAUCCCUUAUUAAAUACAGAUUUAUUAAGUGACCAAACAGUAAAAAUGAACCACAAUUAUUUUCAUUAGAUCCACAAACUUGAAUGAAUCAAAUGAAAUCUCAAAAAUUUUAUAUAAAUGAAGAUAUUACUGUAAGAGAUGUUGAAAAUCACAACAUAAGUGGUAAGCACUAAUAUAAUGAAAAUGAAAUAUUUCAUAAAAGUUUCUUUAAUAAUGUUUAAAUUUGUAAAAUUUUUGAUUCAUUACCAAAUGUGUGUUUUGCAAAUUUUUAUUAAUUUUAUUUGCCAUUCCUCAGCUGAGCAGUUUCUAAAAAUUUACUUAUUUUUAAAUUGAAGUACAGUUGACAUACAAUAUUUUAUUAGCUUAUUAUAUUAUUUUCUGUUGUAUAACAUGAUGAUUCAACAUUUAUGUACAUUAUGAAAUGAUCACGAUAAAUCUAGACACCAACUAUCACUAUAAAAACUAGUUACAAUAUUAUUAACUACAUUCCCUAUGCUGUAUAUUGCAUCUCUGUGUUUCCAAAUUUAAUUAAAAAUAGUCUAAGAACUACAGUGACCUGAUAUGGCAUUACUGUUAAUAGGGCAUAAAUUAUGAGAAAAUCCUGAUGUGAAUACCAUAAUUAGUAUUUUUUCCUGAAAUGAAGGCAAAAGAAAUAAAUUGUAUGGAAUAAUUACAUAAUAAUUAUGAAUUAUGAAGCAUCUUCAUUUUAUUAAUCAGACAUCACCAGUAACCAUUAAAGCACCCACACUUGUAGAAUAAUAAUAAAAUCACAUUUUUGUCAUGUUUUACAGAUCUUAAAAAAUUUUAUUGUUGUUAAGAUAAUUUGUCAAGAUAGGCAAAAUAAACAUUUUAACAGUUCAAUAGCUUGAUUUUGAUGUUAAAGUGUUCAAUUAUAUGAUAUAUGGGGUCUCCAUUUGAACGCUUCCCAUAGACUGCAUAGACUGUUUGGUAGUUAGCAAUGGACUAGAAACCGGUCAGCAGUUAUUAAAUCAGAGCCCGUUAGCUUAACCACAUUGAUUUAACCAUCAUUAAUUUAACCAAGAGAUUCUGGAGAACUACCUGAUAACCGUCCUUAACACUGCACUUGGGAUCAUUUGGAAAGCAAAAAUGCUAGCAAAUUAACCUAAAAGACUCAGCCAAUGUGAAAGAAAUCAGAAAAGAGGGAUGCAUGUUAGAUGAUCUCUAAAUCACCAGCUCACGUUAGAACCUUCAUGAAACAUUGAAUGAAGUUGACAGACUUGUUCCAAUUUUCACCUGGAAAAGGUUUGAGCAAAUUAUUUUUAGAUUAUAUGCAAAUCUGGAGUGGUGAUGAGUUGCUUAUUUAUUUUUGUUAUUAUUUUCUCUUAAAAAAAUGAGUACUGCUAGUAUGUGGAAGCAAUUGCAGUAAAGCAUGCUAGAUAGGACUUAGUGGUAUCAUCUCCUCACUGAAAAAUACCCCAACCUCAUGCUAUCUGUAAUGGUAAUAGAGUAUUCCUUUAGUGUAUAUAAUGGGAAAAAAUUACAGGUGUCAGAAAGGAUAGCCUACACUACUUUUAUAAAGCAUUUCCUUAAAGCUAUAAAUCACCAGAGGUAGCACAAUCUAGUAAAUUUCCUUCUCAUUCCUUUUCUAUUCUUCUGUUUGUAUUUCCCCUCCUCUUUCUCCCUUUUUAUUGUCCUCCUUGUGAGUGUUUAUACAUGUUGUCAUUUUGAGUAAUGCUUCUCAUUAAAAAUGUAAAAAUACCUUUUACAUUUUGAACCUAUUAAACCUGAAAAGUUUGAA
Long non-coding RNA from Manis pentadactyla (Chinese pangolin), 4213 nucleotides. RefSeq lists it as uncharacterized. The record is from RefSeq and is a predicted model, not a curated record. Lineage: Eukaryota; Metazoa; Chordata; Mammalia; Pholidota; Manidae. The transcript has 2 exons.